GAGCUUUGACUCGCUUUCGGUUCCGCCAUAUCGCGCGGAUUAAAAGGGAACACGGUGCGGAUUACCCAUCAAGGGCCAAAACCGUGGCUGCCCUCGCAACUGUAAGCGGCAAGUGACCAGCACAUCGCCACUGACCUUGACGGGUUGGGAAGGCUGCCGGGAACGACAGAGCCGCGAGCCAGGAGACCUGCCAGAGCGCAAGACCAUGU
RNAcentral lists this non-coding RNA (209 nucleotides) under Devosia chinhatensis. The record is from RNAcentral. Lineage: Bacteria; Pseudomonadati; Pseudomonadota; Alphaproteobacteria; Hyphomicrobiales; Devosiaceae.